Molecule: ribosomal RNA, 1404 nt
Filed under: uncultured bacterium
Lineage: Bacteria
Description: bacterial SSU rRNA
Rfam family: Bacterial small subunit ribosomal RNA
Source: RNAcentral
GAGUUUGAUCAUGGCUCAGGACGAACGCUGACGGCGUGCUUAACACAUGCAAGUCGAACGGAAAGGCCCCCACUUUUUUGGUGGGGGUGCUCGAGUGGCGAACGGGUGAGUAACACGUGGGUGAUCUGCCCUGCACUUCGGGAUAAGCUUGGGAAACUGGGUCUAAUACCGGAUAGGACCAUGGUUUAGUGUCUCAUGGUGGAAAAAUUAUUGUUUUGGUGCAGGAUGAGCUCGCGGCCUAUCAGCUUGUUGGUGGGGUAAUGGCCUACCAAGGCGUCGACGGGUAGCCGGCCUGAGAGGGUGGACGGCCACAUUGGGACUGAGAUACGGCCCAGACUCCUACGGGAGGCAGCAGUGGGGAAUAUUGCACAAUGGGCGCAAGCCUGAUGCAGCGACGCCGCGUGGGGGAUGACGGCCUUCGGGUUGUAAACUCCUUUCGUUAGGGACGAAGCCGCACCUGUUUUGGGUGUGGUGACGGUACCUUUGUUAAGAAGCACCGGCUAACUACGUGCCAGCAGCCGCGGUAAUACGUAGGGUGCGAGCGUUGUCCGGAAUUACUGGGCGUAAAGAGCUCGUAGGUGGUUUGUUGCGUCGUCUGUGAAAUUCCGGGGCUUAACUUCGGGGUGGCAGGCGAUACGGGCAUAACUAGAGUGCUGUAGGGGAGACUGGAAUUCCUGGUGUAGCGGUGGAAUGCGCAGAUAUCAGGAGGAACGCCGAUGGCGAAGGCAGGUCUCUGGGCAGUAACUGACGCUGAGGAGCGAAAGCAUGGGGAGCGAACAGGAUUAGAUACCCUGGUAGUCCAUGCUGUAAACGGUGGGCGUUAGGUGUGGGGACCGGUUUGGUUUCUGUGCCGUAGCUAACGCAUUAAGCGCCCCGCCUGGGGAGUACGGCCGCAAGGCUAAAACUCAAAGGAAUUGACGGGGGCCCGCACAAGCGGCGGAGCAUGUGGAUUAAUUCGAUGCAACGCGAAGAACCUUACCUGGGUUUGACAUGCACCAGACGGUUGUAGAGAUACGUACCUCCCUUUGUGGUUGGUGUGCAGGUGGUGCAUGGUUGUCGUCAGCUCGUGUCGUGAGAUGUUGGGUUAGGUCCCGCAACGAGCGCAACCCUUGUCUUAUGUUGCCAGCACGUUUGGGUGGGGACUCAUGAGAGACUGCCGGGGUUAACUCGGAGGAAGGUGGGGAUGACGUCAAAUCAUCAUGCCCUUUAUGCCCAGGGCUUCACACAUGCUACAAUGGUUAGUACAACGCGCUGCGAGCCUGUGAGGGUGAGCGAAUCGCUGAAAGCUAAUCUCAGUUCGGAUUGGGGUCUGCAACUCGACCCCAUGAAGUCGGAGUCGCUAGUAAUCGCAGAUCAGCAAUGCUGCGGUGAAUACGUUCCCGGGCCUUGUACACACCGCCCGUC